Molecule: ribosomal RNA, 529 nt
Filed under: uncultured bacterium
Lineage: Bacteria
Description: partial 16S ribosomal RNA
Rfam family: Bacterial small subunit ribosomal RNA
Source: RNAcentral
UGGGGAAUAUUGCACAAUGGGCGCAAGCCUGAUGCAGCCAUGCCGCGUGUGUGAAGAAGGCCUUCGGGUUGUAAAGCACUUUCAGCGAGGAGGAAGGUGGUGGACUUAAUACGUCAUCAAUUGACGUUACUCGCAGAAGAAGCACCGGCUAACUCCGUGCCAGCAGCCGCGGUAAUACGGAGGGUGCAAGCGUUAAUCGGAAUUACUGGGCGUAAAGCGCACGCAGGCGGUUUGUUAAGUCAGAUGUGAAAUCCCCGGGCUCAACCUGGGAACUGCAUUUGAAACUGGCAAGCUAGAGUCUCGUAGAGGGGGGUAGAAUUCCAGGUGUAGCGGUGAAAUGCGUAGAGAUCUGGAGGAAUACCGGUGGCGAAGGCGGCCCCCUGGACGAAGACUGACGCUCAGGUGCGAAAGGCGUGGGGCAGCAAACAGGAUUAGAUACCCUGGUAGUCCACGCUGUAAACGAUGUCGAUUUUGGAGGUUGUGCCCUUGAGGCGUGGCUUCCGGAGCUAACGCGUUAAAUCGACCGCCU